CCUCCCUCGGCCGCCGCCGCUCCCGCCGCGCUGCCGCCGCCCCGGGCGCCGUCCGUCCCCACAGCCGCUCCGCCGCUCGAGCGCGCCUCCGGUGACUGAGCCACCUGCCUGCCGCAGCCGGCGCGGGCUCAGGGGUGACCACGGCCGUCAGGGUCACCGUGCAGGUUCCCGCUCCGCUACAGUUUUGCAUUUCUCAUAACUAUUAAAAUGCUUCUUGUAAACUUUCUGAAUUAAAGCUUCGCUCCCAAACGUUCCCCAAGCCCAAGCACGCCAGAAGUAACGAAGUGCCCUUUGACAAAGAGCUAAUGCGUUUUGAAAUACAAAAUUUAGCACCCUUAAACUAAGUUAGCAUAAGUUAGUGAGGAGAUGCAAGCUUACACCAGAAGUGUUAAAAGCCGUGCCUGACAGUCUGCAGUUCCCACAUGCCACGUUGAAACUACAACAGCUUUUUCUGUCAUGCGGUGCCAGCAGCCAUAGGUGGUGGGUUUAAUAAAGCAUUUAAGGAAAUUUGGAUUUAGCUAGUAAAAAAUCCUCUGGAGAAAAGCUUUUCUUCCUGUGAAAAACUGACAAAAGAAUAUAUGAAAGGAAAAAUACUAUAGAAGUAGGAUGGGAUUAAUUGAAACUUAUGUAUUGCCAAUAGCUGGGAGGGUUUUGUUUCAGGUUUUCUAACAUGGAUUCUGAAUUUUAUCUGGAGAUACAUUUAUAAGACUCAUUAAGAGGUUUUACAUUUAGAAUCUGAAGAAGGGAGAGUCACAAUCCCACAGUAAAUUAGCCUGGUUUUAAUCAGAUCUAAAACUAUAUUUUCCUGCUUGAAACUGAUUUGGUAUCAUUAGGAAGUACCGCACAAAGACAAUAAAAUGCGGAGGGUCAGGCGAAGCAACCUCUCUGGAGGUCUGUAUUUGCUGUAGGUCUGCUUCCACAGCAGAUUUCCCCACUUGAACAGCUAAUAAAAUAUCCUCGCCAUCAGGAUGAGGUUUCUGAAUUUGUAUUUUGUAUACAUAGCUGUGUUCUUUCUGAUUCAUUUAGCCUCAUCAACAAAAUAAAGAUACUGAAUCAGAACAAGCUGGCAAUUUUGUUGAUGAAACAUGGGAGGGAGCGGACUCCAGCUGGCUCUUCAGCAGAUACGUUGGCCAGUUGACAGGAAUAAAACUGCAAGAAACCUGACACAGAAAACACACGCGGCGAGAGGAGACAGACAGCAGAGGCAGGCAGGAUGCCCAGCACAAGACACUUGGCCAUGUUGAACACCCAUAACUCUCCACAGAGGCUCUCGAUUCAGCAAGUAUCCAGUUUUUCUGACUCACGAUGUCCAAAAGGGCAUCUGAGAAUCAAAGUUCAUUUUUAAAGCUUUGCCCUGUAUUAAGAAAUGAAGCUUCACAACACUCAAGCAAACAGGUGGAAGAAUCUACUUUAUGGAAACAGAAACCAUUCAGCUUUUCAAAGACUGUUUGCCAUUACUAGACACAUAUGUAUGGAUUUUUUAAAACUGAAUUCAGUAUCAAAGGCACAUGUUCUACGCAAAUGUCAGACAUUUUUACUCAUUUUUCUACCAGAGUUCUGUGAUUAAAACAAACA
Phalacrocorax carbo (great cormorant) is the source of this 1575-nucleotide non-coding RNA. NCBI's taxonomy places the organism in Eukaryota, Metazoa, Chordata, Aves, Suliformes, Phalacrocoracidae. The record is from RefSeq and is a predicted model, not a curated record.